AGAGUUGAUCAUGGCUCAGGAUGAACGCUAGCUACAGGCUUAACACAUGCAAGUCGAGGGCAGCAGAUCGAAAGCUGUCUUUGAUGCUGGCGACCGGCGCGACGGGUGAGUAACGCGUAUCCAACCUUCCCUAUAGUAGAGAAUAGCCCGGCGAAAGUCGGAUUAAUGCUCUAUGUUGUAUUUAGAAGACAUCUGAAGAAUACCAAAAGGUUUACCGCUAUAGGAUGGGGAUGCGUCUGAUUAGGUUGUUGGCGGGGUAACGGCCCACCAAGCCCACGAUCAGUAGGGGUUCUGAGAGGAAGGUCCCCCACAUUGGAACUGAGACACGGUCCAAACUCCUACGGGAGGCAGCAGUGAGGAAUAUUGGUCAAUGGACGGAAGUCUGAACCAGCCAAGUAAGCGUGCAGGAUGACCGGCCCUAUGGGUUGUAAACUGUCUUUUAUACAGGGAUAAAGUGAGGGACGUGUCCCUUUUUGUAGGUACUGUAUGAAUAAGGACCGGCUAAUUCCGUGCCAGCCGCCGC
Molecule: ribosomal RNA, 523 nt
Filed under: uncultured bacterium
Lineage: Bacteria
Description: bacterial SSU rRNA
Rfam family: Bacterial small subunit ribosomal RNA
Source: RNAcentral